CAUGAACGCUAGCUACAGGCUUAACACAUGCAAGUCGAGGGGCAGCACGGUGUAGCAAUACACUGGUGGCGACCGGCGCACGGGUGAGUAACACGUAUCCAACCUGCCGCAUACUCCGGAAUAGCCUUUCGAAAGAAAGAUUAAUGCCGGAUGGCAUGUAUGUCCUGCAUGGGAUUUACAUUAAAGAUUCAUCGGUAUGCGAUGGGGAUGCGUUCCAUUAGCUUGUUGGCGGGUAACGCCACAAGGCAACGAUGGAUAGGGGUUCUGAGAGGAAGGUCCCCCCACAUUGGGAACUGAGACACGGGUCCAAACUCCUACGGGAGGCAGCAGUGAGGAAUAUUGGUCAAUGGGACGAGAGUCUGAACCAGCCAAGUAGCGUGAA
RNAcentral lists this ribosomal RNA (382 nucleotides) under uncultured bacterium. RNAcentral describes it as "bacterial SSU rRNA". It matches the Rfam family "Bacterial small subunit ribosomal RNA", at positions 29 to 405 of the family's 1533-position model. The record is from RNAcentral.